Molecule: ribosomal RNA, 253 nt
Filed under: uncultured bacterium
Lineage: Bacteria
Description: partial 16S ribosomal RNA
Rfam family: Bacterial small subunit ribosomal RNA
Source: RNAcentral
UACGUAGGGGGCAAGCGUUGUCCGGAAUCAUUGGGCGUAAAGCGCGUGUAGGCGGCCCGAUAAGUCCGCUGUGAAAGUCCAGGGCUCAACCCUGGAAUGCCGGUGGAUACUGUCGGGCUCGAGUCCGGAAGAGGCGAGUGGAAUUCCUGGUGUAGCGGUGAAAUGCGCAGAUAUCAGGAGGAACACCGAUGGCGAAGGCAGCUCGCUGGGACGGUACUGACGCUGAGACGCGAAAGCGUGGGUAGCAAACAGG